GGUUUAGAGUUAAAGAGUGGGGUUUAGGAUUUAGGGUUUAGGGUUUAGGGUUCAGAGUUUAGGGUUUAGGGUUUAUGGUUUAUGGUUUAGGGUUUAGAGUUUAGAGUUUAGAGUUUAGGGUUUAGAGUUUAGGGUUUAGAGUUGAUAAACGAGGUUUUGGGAUAAGAUUUCAAAUUUUAAAAAAUAAAAAAAAUUAAAAUUUUCAAAGGAUAA
This 213-nucleotide long non-coding RNA is filed under the name Brassica napus (rape). Its description in RNAcentral is "long non-coding RNA (BNAP_LNC009647)". Lineage: Eukaryota; Viridiplantae; Streptophyta; Magnoliopsida; Brassicales; Brassicaceae. The record is from RNAcentral.